Molecule: ribosomal RNA, 532 nt
Filed under: Datonychus melanostictus
Lineage: Eukaryota; Metazoa; Arthropoda; Insecta; Coleoptera; Curculionidae
Description: partial 16S ribosomal RNA
Rfam family: Bacterial large subunit ribosomal RNA
Source: RNAcentral
AAAAACAUGUCCUUUUGAUUUAAAUUUAAGGUCUAACCUGCUCAAUGAGUUAGUUUUAAAUAGCCGCAGUAUCUUAACUGUGCAAAGGUAGCAUAAUCAUUAGUUUCUUAAUUAGAAGCUGGAAUGAAGGGUUGAAUGAGAAAAUAACUGUCUCUAUGAAAAUUUAAUAGAAUUUUAUUUUUAAGUCAAAAAGCUUAAAUAGAAAUAAAAGACGAGAAGACCCUGUAGAGUUUUAUAUUUGUAUGCAAUAUUUUUUUUAGUAUUCUAAAAUUUAUUUUAUAUGUAAUAUUUAGUUGGGGUGAUUAGAAAAUUGAAUAAACUUUUCUUUCAUAGGGACAUUUAUUUAUGAAAAUAUGAUCCAUUUUUAUGAUUAUAAGAUAAAAUUACCUUAGGGAUAACAGCGUAAUUUUUUUUGAGAGUUCUUAUCGAAAAAAGAGAUUGCGACCUCGAUGUUGGAUUAAAAUGAAUUUUUGGUGUAGAAGCUGAAUUAAUUAGGUCUGUUCGACCUUUAAAAUUUUACUUGAUCUGAGUC